UACGGAGGGUGCAAGCAUUGAUCGGAAUUACUGGGCGUAAAGGGCGCGUAGGCGGCCAGAAAAGUCAGAUGUGAAAUUCCGGGGCUCAACCCCGGAGCUGCAUUUGAAACUUUCCGGCUUGAGGUUGGUAAGGGAAAACGGAAUUCCACGUGUAGCGGUGAAAUGCGUAGAUAUGUGGAAGAACACCGGUGGUGAAGACGGUUUUCUGUGCCAAACCUGACGCUGAGGCGCGAAAGCUAGGGGAGCAAACAGG
This 253-nucleotide ribosomal RNA is filed under the name uncultured bacterium. Its description in RNAcentral is "partial 16S ribosomal RNA". It matches the Rfam family "Bacterial small subunit ribosomal RNA", at positions 524 to 776 of the family's 1533-position model. The record is from RNAcentral.